This 324-nucleotide ribosomal RNA is filed under the name uncultured eukaryote. RNAcentral's name for it is "partial 18S ribosomal RNA". It matches the Rfam family "Eukaryotic small subunit ribosomal RNA", at positions 1470 to 1796 of the family's 1831-position model. The record is from RNAcentral.
CCCUUAGAUGUCCUGGGCUGCACGCGCGCUACACUGAUGUGUCCAGUAAGCACCUAGCCUCUUCCGAAAGGAACGGGUAACCUUUGCAAAGCACAUCGUGAUGGGGAUAGAUUAUUGCAAUUAUUAGUCUUGAACGAGGAAUUCCUAGUAAGCACAAGUCAUCAGCUUGUGUUGAUUACGUCCCUGCCCUUUGUACACACCGCCCGUCGCUCCUACCGAUUGAAUGUUCCGGUGAGCUCUUCGGACUGCGCGGUCUGCAGUUUCUGCGUUCCGUGCGGAAAGUUGCGCAAACCUUAACAUUUAGAGGAAGGAGAAGUCGUAACA